AAAACUAGCAUAUCAAUAAGCGGAGGAAAAGAAACCAACAGGGAUUGCCCUAGUAACGGCGAGUGAAGCGGCAACAGCUCAAAUUUGAAAUCUGGCCCCCGGGUCCGAGUUGUAAUUUGUAGAGGAUGCUUUUGGUGCGGUACCUUCCGAGUGCCCUGGAACGGGACGCCAUAGAGGGUGAGAGCCCCGUCUGGUUGGACGCCAAUCCUUUGUAAAGCUCCUUCAACGAGUCGAGUAGUUUGGGAAUGCUGCUCUAAAUGGGAGGUAUAUGUCUUCUAAAGCUAAAUAUUGGCCAGAGACCGAUAGCGCACAAGUAGAGUGAUCGAAAGAUGAAAAGCACUUUGAAAAGAGAGUUAAAAAGUACGUGAAAUUGUUGAAAGGGAAGCGCUCAUGACCAGACUUGGGCUUGGUUGAUCAUCCAGGGUUCUCCCUGGUGCACUCUUCCGGCCCAGGCCAGCAUCAGUUCGCUGUGGGGGAUAAAGGCUUCGGGAAUGUGGCUCCCUCGGGAGUGUUAUAGCCCGUCGUGUAAUACCCUGUGGCGGACUGAGGUUCGCGCAUUCGCAAGGAUGCUGGCGUAAUGGUCAUCAGCGACCCGUCUUGAAACACGGACCAAGGAGUCGUCUUCGUAUGCGAGUGUUCGGGUGUCAAACCCCUACGCGUAAUGAAAGUGAACGCAGGUGAGAGCUUCGGCGCAUCAUCGACCGAUCCUGAUGUUCUCGGAUGGAUUUGAGUAAGAGCAUACGGGGCCGGACCCGAAAGAAGGUGAACUAUGCCUGUAUAGGGUGAAGCCAGAGGAAACUCUGGUGGAGGCUCGCAGCGGUUCUGACGUGCAAAUCGAUCGUCAAAUAUGGGCAUGGGGGCGAAAGACUA
This 870-nucleotide ribosomal RNA is filed under the name Neonectria ditissima. RNAcentral's name for it is "partial large subunit ribosomal RNA". It matches the Rfam family "Eukaryotic large subunit ribosomal RNA", at positions 30 to 933 of the family's 3401-position model. Lineage: Eukaryota; Fungi; Ascomycota; Sordariomycetes; Hypocreales; Nectriaceae. The record is from RNAcentral.